GGAAAAUGCAAAGCAACGCGUAAUACACGCAUUAGACAGUGAAUUAAAAAAAACCAACAUAUUGGAGCCUACAGAGCCGAGCCGUGUGACAGCUAUUUUUUGGCUCCCUUUUCUGCCCUCCCCUUAUUUAUAUAUCUUCCUCUUCCCUCACCAUUUCUCUUCAUCAUAUCAUCAAAAUUUUUAGAUAUCUUUCUUAUCUUUUAUUGUCUAUCCAACUUCCUUACAUGGCCGACUUCUCAAGGAACAGAACCUCCGUUGAUGCCUCUUCUGCCACGCAGCCCAGCCGUCUUCAGCGGCGGCGACCGGCGUCCUUGGAGAUAUACCCCCCUUCGUCUUCCUGCUGGAACGCCGCCAUUCCUCUUCUCUCUCCGCUUGUAUCUUCACCUACCACGAUUGAUCGGAUGGCGGAAAUGAAAUCGCGGGAGGACCAGCAGCAGCCGUCGCAGCUUCGGAAUCAGGAAACAGACAAGGAAAAGGGUGCUGCUGAUGUGUUCAAGAAGUGGCAGCACCCGGCAGCUCCUUUCUGCUGCGAGCCGCCUUCAUUUGCGCCUAAAUUUUUUGUGCCUGUAUAGAUAUCGAAUGGAAGGGGCUUUUAAUAUAAUUACAUUUUUAGGGGUUUUUUUAAAGAUUUUCUAACCGCUGAAAAUUUAACAAUUGCAUACAAUGCUUGUAUUUUAUGUUCAUAUACUUAAUGCUAACUAUUUCUUUU
This 709-nucleotide unclassified non-coding RNA is filed under the name Hevea brasiliensis (rubber tree). The record is from RNAcentral. Lineage: Eukaryota; Viridiplantae; Streptophyta; Magnoliopsida; Malpighiales; Euphorbiaceae.